GGGGUUGUGGCUCAGUGGUAGAGCACUUGCCUAGCAUGCAUGAGGCACUGUGUUUGAUUCCCAGUACCACA
RNAcentral lists this transfer RNA (71 nucleotides) under Marmota monax (woodchuck). RNAcentral's name for it is "tRNA.Ala". It matches the Rfam family "tRNA". From Rfam's summary of the family: Transfer RNA (tRNA) molecules are approximately 80 nucleotides in length. Their secondary structure includes four short double-helical elements and three loops (D, anti-codon, and T loops). The record is from RNAcentral. Lineage: Eukaryota; Metazoa; Chordata; Mammalia; Rodentia; Sciuridae.